This 3070-nucleotide long non-coding RNA is filed under the name Apis dorsata (giant honeybee). Its description in RNAcentral is "uncharacterized LOC102680079, transcript variant X10". The record is from RNAcentral. Lineage: Eukaryota; Metazoa; Arthropoda; Insecta; Hymenoptera; Apidae.
UGAAGAAUAUGUUGCUGAAGUUGUGGUUGUUGACCUGGAAUCAAAAUCGUUUCAAUUUAUCUCGUUAUUUAAAUAACAAUUUGGACAAGUCGAUAUUCCAUAUCGAUAAAAUUAAGUUAACCUCUUCGAUACAAAUAUCAACUUUAAUCGAUAGUUACCAAAUGAAUAUAAGUAUAUAUAACAUUAUGAUAGUUAUAUUAAUAAUAUAAUUUUUUAUUUUUUGACUAAUCUUUCUAAGUUAUUUCUUUUAUUUAUUAGAAAGAAAUUUUAUAUAUUAUAAUAUGUUUAUUAUAAAAAAAUGUUUAAUAUGAAAGUGUUACACUUGCUCGGUCGUUAAAUAAUACAUAUUCUGCAACAAGUGUCAUAAAAGAGUUUAUGACGAUACAUUUUGAAUGUGAAACAUACCUGUUUGAUAUUGUUCUGGCAUCUUUUGAGGAAAGCUGUUUAAAAGAUCGUAAAGUUGAGUUGCUGAAAGCGGAGGGCCUGCAGGAGCUGGAUGACCAACAUGUAGAUCAGGUAUUUGUUGAUUUAUAAUAUAUGGAGUCUGUCCAGCGGUACCAGGGAAACCAACAUGCAGUGAACUAUGAAGAUUAGUUUGCAUUGGUAAAUUGGGCUGCCCGAGUUGAAUGUUUGUUCCGAUGAGACCUAUAUUCGACGCUGGAUGAUUAUUUAAAUAAACGUCAUUUGUUUGUAAGUCAGGAUUCACCAAUGUUGAAAGAGUUGCAAAGUCUGGAGGCAAGAAUGUCGGUAAAACGGUUUGAUAUUCUUUUUGACUGAUAUCAUUGCUUUCAGUUACUUCGUAAUUAUGUUGCACUGGAGUGGGACUCGUUACAGUUUUCUGCGGUGUUAAACUUGUGCUAAUAGUAGCAAGAUCAAAAUUUGAAUCUAACCAUGUGGAUUGAUUUUAUAAGUAGCAUCAGUUGUUUGUUGACGUGAAUUUUCUUCUAUAUUCACUUCAUUAUUGAAAGGUUUAUCCAUGGGACUCAGAUUAGGCGCAGGAAUCGUAUGAAUUGGUCCCUUGUCAUCAUCGACACCACCUCUAUGAGUCGGUGGCAAAACAGCAGCUUCCGGUCUAUAUUCAGGACUAUAUUCCGGCAUUUUAUUUACGGUAUGAAAUUCUUUAACUGGUGGACGUUGUGGUAAAACCGCAUGAUUAUUUAAAGAAGUUCUUAUUGGAAUCUGAUUUUUCCAAAUGGUAGAUGGCACAUUGAACAUCGGAGGUCGACGAAUUCUGGAAUAAGGGAUAGAUCGAGAAAAUGUCACGUUCGAUGAAAAAUAUAUUUUUUCUAUAUAUUCUCAAAGAUUCACCUAUAAUUCGAGGGUUUGUGAGCUAUUCGUUUCAAUGGGAAAUUUCCAUUGAUAUGCAUUGUAUUUCCCACUGAAAUUCGAUGAGUAAGUGGCCAUGAUUUCUUGAACAUCAAUUUAGGAGGCUGUGGAGGAGGCAAUGGUCUUCUAAUCUUAUAUCUAGCUUCGACAAGGCAGAUACACGUGAUCAAUAGCCAACACAUCCAAUUUGUCGUCUAAAAUUUUGUUAAUUGAUUUAUCUGUUAUGUUUCAAGUGAAGUUUGAAGAAAAAUUAAAUUAGAUCAAUUAUUAUAAUUAAAGUUUUACGGCAUAAAUUUCAUUAUUUAUUAAAACAUUACAAACGAAUUGUUUUUGUAUUCAACGCCAUUCGUAAUCUAUUAUGUUGAACUAUCGUAACAAUGACCGUGACAAUGGAUAUUCAUUGUGGCAUUAAGCAAUUAUAGUUUGAGAAACGCUGGCACUGGCAAUGAAACCGAAGAGAGAAGUGCUGUGAGUUGUUAGCAGGUAAAGUGGGACGGUGUGCUACAUCGAUGGUAGGAAAAGCGAGGGUAGUAAGAAGCCAGGUGAGGAGUGAGGUCGAAAAGAAAAUAGUCGAACCUGGAAAUAAUGAUCCAAACCGAUGGAUUGAGAGAUGAUGACCGCGGAUGCAACAAGUUGUAUCGUAACGAUUAUGAUUCGUUUUCGCUCGAAUUGCAUUUCCGCCGAAAAGGAAUUCGAUGACAGGAAAGUCGAUUUGCGAUUGUAUCAAAGGCCCUUUGCGAGUCGACAGAUGGACAGAACGAUCGAAGACCGGUCAAACGCCGUUUCUCUCCAUAUCCUGCUACUGGAUUCCCUCGUGAGGAUAUACCUGUGUGCGUGGAUACGCACGAACCAACAUGUGUGAUCCAGUGACCCACUAUAUUCAUCGGUAGCUACAAAAUUUCAAUCUAUGGAUAAAAUUGAAGAUAUAAAGAAAGAUUGGAAUAAAACAAAAUCAAUUUAAAACAAAAAAAACAAUAUCAGAUUCAUUUAUUAAUAUUCUAUUUAUACAAAAGUAUAUACAUUACGAUGACUAAUUAGAACUAUAUCGCGUUACAAAUAUUACGAUAUCUAUAAUUAUAAAUUCUGAAGAGCGUUAAAAAAGAGGAAGGAAGGUUAAACUAGUUACUCUCAUUGUUAUGGCCUCCUUCAUUGCAUAAAAGUUUCUCGAGCUUCAUUUGCAUUUGUACGCAUAAUGAAUUCGUUAUAUACUUUCAUACACAACAUUCAUCUUCUUCUUAAGAAUUAAUAAUCAAUAAGCAUCAUAUAAAAAGCUCUAAAAACAAACUAGACACAAAAAUUGUACCUUAAUGUUGCAAUCAUACACAAAAAAAAAAAAAAGAAAAAGAAAAAAACUUAUUAGCGAUUCAACAUAUAUCACAAGAUAAAAUCAACUAUAAUGAGUAUCCUCUACAUUGACUCAUGCUUGUAACUCAAAAUUCAACAUCAUUCAUCGUUUUUUAAUUUACACGUUGGACCGCUUUCUUUUUCCAGAAUAAUCCCAAGAAGAUUCGUCCAUGAAUGAUUUCCGUUGAAUCCAUCCAUGAAAUUUCUUAGUCUUCUUUUGUAACGAGGCGAAAGCCGCAACACGGAUGGAUACAUAUAUACGUAGUCUCAUACGGUGAACAAAUUCGUUUAUGGAUCUUCUUCUCUGUCCACUACUUUUUCUCUGAUACAAUCCAUGCAUGUUGAAAUUAGUGAAAGGUUGAAUCAAUCCCUGAUUUUGCCAAUAUGGAGUCAGUAGUGG